UUGGAUCCCUCCCUCCACUGAGAGCAGGAGACCAUGACCAAUAUGGUUACAACCUGGAUACUUUCUAGCCAAGGAGGGGCACCAGGAAGGAAAAAAGCGAGGAUCAAUACCAAUGAGAAGUUCACUUCCUCCAUCCUGGGGAAAAAGGCAACAAUUGUCCACUAACCAAUCCUUUCUUUGUGCAGCCUGUUCUCCAGCAAGCAAUCGGGGCUCAUGGUGGAUCCGUUCCCAGCGAGUUCUCCUCCGCUCCUAUGCGGAGCUUGGGAGUAGCACUGUGCAUACAAGCAAAACCGCCAGGAGUUUGAACAAACUUGCCUCAAACUAUUUAUGGGGCAUCUGGAAAUGCUUUGUCAUCCCACUAUCUGUCUGAGCAGGGCUGUUUGGACCUGGAGGAGCAAUUUAGAUAAAUACGGAAUCCAGACAAAGGAGGCUCUUCAAGUCAGAUGCAGCAGGAAGACCUGUGCCUCCUGGAUCAUAGCCUACCACUCCCUGAAGUCCUGGGGGUUUCCUUUUCAGUUUCCAUCCGAGGGCAAGCCAUGUAUACCUUAUCGGAUUAAACACAGAACUGCAAACACUGGAAAGAAUACAGACUCUUUACAACUUGUUGCCCUGGUUCCAAAUAUUUCUACUUAUCUGAGGACUGCAGCAUUUCUUAUGCCUGAGAGUAGAAGUGUGUAG
Molecule: long non-coding RNA, 678 nt
Filed under: Crocodylus porosus (Australian saltwater crocodile)
Lineage: Eukaryota; Metazoa; Chordata; Crocodylia; Crocodylidae
Description: lncRNA (ENSCPRG00005003054.1)
Source: RNAcentral